GUCUUCCCCGGAUAAACUGGAAACAGUAACACGCAACAGGUGUUUCCGGUGAGCGGGUUUGGUCAUGUCUGCCAGAAAGCCUCGCUCGGUGGCGAACCCUUUGGAGUCUGCCAUCACUUCACCGAGUGAGAGGAUACUAAAAGAAUGUCACAGUUUGUAUGUCGACAGCGAAAACGGCCUGGUAAAGAUUGCCAGCAGCCUAGGAGUACGCCUUCUUCCUCCCAGAAAGAAGAUUAUUGUGAUGAUCAUGGGGAACCAUUCUGCAGGAAAAAGCUCCUUCAUCAACUGGUAUGUUGAGGAGCAUAUCCAAAAAACUGGUGUUGCCAUUGAAACGCAGGGCUUCACAUUCAUCACAAGUGGGCGUAAAAGAGAAUCAUUGACGGGGAAUGCAACACUACAUCUCUACCCCCAUUUUAGACCACUCCUUGAGUUCAAAGGUGUUAUGGACUAUCUAUCUGCUGAGAUAUCCACCUCCAAGCAGAAGAAGUUCAGCCUUGUGACCUUCGUGGACACACCGGGCUUAGUGGAUGGGGACAUGAUCUACCCUUUUAAUGUUAACAGCGCCAUCACAUGGUUCGGAGAGCAGUCAGACCUGAUAUUUGUGUUCUUUGACCCAAUGGGUCAGGCGCUGUGCAAGCGCACGCUGAACAUUGUGGAGAAGCUGAGUGAGAAGUGUGGGGACAAGCUGUUGUUCUACCUCAGCAAAGCUGACGAAGCUGGAAAGGAAACCGAUCGACAAAGAGUGAUGAUGCAGAUUGUCCAGGAAUUGUGCCGCCGCCCAGGUCUCAACAAAUGUGGUUUUGAAAUGCCAACAAUAUAUAUCCCUAACCCGCAGAAGCCAAGCCGCUGUGUGAACCAAAUUGACGGAGUUUGUCAGACCAUCGAAAAGACCAUCAACCAGGCUGUGCAGAGAACUUUGGACCAGUUAGAAAAAGACUGUGAUCUAAUUUGCUUUACCAUCAGCAGCAGACUACAACAGGACAGGACUGAUGCCUCAUACAACAAAAGCGUUCGACUGCACUCGUUCGUGUGUGGUGCUAUGGGAGUUGUCCUUCCUCUGCUCUUCGUUCUCAGUUUCCUUCUGAGCACCUUCCCGAAGGAGCAGCUGAGUGAUCUGAUGGGAGAGGGGCUGGCACACACCCUCUCUGUCUGUACAGGAAUUGUGAUGUACUUAUGGGAGUGGAUUCCAGAAGAUGGGCAAGUUGUCUUUGUGAUCCUUUUUGGAGCCUUUUGUUACCUCCUACUUUUCCUCUCUAAAUACUUCUCUGGUGAAUGCCAUGAUGUUCCACUUCUAGUCAAGGAAACAAGACUCUAACAAAGAAGGAGAAGAGAGUGAUGACAGAGUACAGUGAUUAUAUCCAGGAUAUCGUCAAAGCCAAAAAGGGUAAAUUGUAUGAGUGGUACCUCCAGCAAUGUGCUGCAGAAUAUGACCUUUGACCCCGGGUAAGCGUCACGCAUGUAUGUUAACAACGCUGGAAAAAGUGGCUGUGUAGUGUUUGGUGAAACACUGGGAAGUUUAUACUUAUACUGACAAUCAUCUACCAAAUAUUGCGGCCAAAGGCACUAUUACCAGUUUUACUAAUUAGAAAGUGCCUUUGAUUUUCAAUAUUCUCAAGAGACUGAUUAUGGAUUUUAUAAUGUGAAUUUGUUGUUAAAAUAUUUUGUAGGCCGCUUUACU
This is an RNA transcript of Nerophis lumbriciformis (worm pipefish), 1678 nucleotides long. RefSeq lists it as uncharacterized. The record is from RefSeq and is a predicted model, not a curated record. NCBI's taxonomy places the organism in Eukaryota, Metazoa, Chordata, Actinopteri, Syngnathiformes, Syngnathidae.